This 254-nucleotide ribosomal RNA is filed under the name uncultured bacterium. RNAcentral describes it as "partial 16S ribosomal RNA". It matches the Rfam family "Bacterial small subunit ribosomal RNA", at positions 524 to 776 of the family's 1533-position model. The record is from RNAcentral.
CACGGGGGGAGCAAGCGUUGUUCGGAAUCACUGGGCGUAAAGGGCGUGUAGGCGGUCAAGUAAGUGGAAUGUGAAAGCCCCCGGCUUACCCGGGGAUCUGCAUCCCAAACUGCUUGGCUUGAGUACGGGAGAGGAUAGGGGAAUUCCUGGUGUAGCGGUGAAAUGCGUAGAUAUCAGGAGGAACACCGGUGGCGAAGGCGGCCUAUCUGGCCCGAUACUGACGCUGAGGCGCGAAAGCUAGGGGAGCAAACGGG